CUCGUAGGCGGUUUGUCGCGUCUGCCGUGAAAUUCUUCGGCUUAACCGAAGGCGUGCGGUGGGUACGGACAGACUAGAGUGUGGUAGGGGAGACUGGAAUUCCUGGUGUAGCGGUGGAAUGCGCAGAUAUCAGGAGGAACACCGGUGGCGAAGGCGGGUCUCUGGGCCACUACUGACGCUGAGGAGCGAAAGCAUGGGGAAGCGAACA
Molecule: ribosomal RNA, 208 nt
Filed under: uncultured bacterium
Lineage: Bacteria
Description: partial 16S ribosomal RNA
Rfam family: Bacterial small subunit ribosomal RNA
Source: RNAcentral